Molecule: transfer RNA, 64 nt
Filed under: Ischnoptera bilunata
Lineage: Eukaryota; Metazoa; Arthropoda; Insecta; Blattodea; Blattellidae
Description: tRNA-Glu
Rfam family: tRNA
About the family: Transfer RNA (tRNA) molecules are approximately 80 nucleotides in length. Their secondary structure includes four short double-helical elements and three loops (D, anti-codon, and T loops). Further hydrogen bonds mediate the characteristic L-shaped molecular structure. tRNAs have two regions of fundamental functional importance: the anti-codon, which is responsible for specific mRNA codon recognition, and the 3' end, to which the tRNAs corresponding amino acid is attached (by aminoacyl-tRNA synthetases). tRNAs cope with the degeneracy of the genetic code in two manners: having more than one tRNA (with a specific anti-codon) for a particular amino acid; and 'wobble' base-pairing, i.e. permitting non-standard base-pairing at the 3rd anti-codon position.
Source: RNAcentral
AUUUAUGUAGUUUAUUUAAAACAUUACAUUUUCACUGUAAAAAUAAAAUCCAUUUUCAUAAAUA